Molecule: long non-coding RNA, 1188 nt
Organism: Lates calcarifer (barramundi perch)
Lineage: Eukaryota; Metazoa; Chordata; Actinopteri; Centropomidae
Exons: 3
Source: RefSeq, a predicted model, not a curated record
UGCAGCAGUAUGGUGGGAGGUUGUUGAAUGCUCUUUGCUGCCAGGUGCUGCCGGGACAAAUUUUCCCGUGGUAGCGGCAUCCCUCCAACAUGUGUCCCCACUGCCUCCUCUGCGGCCGCCCCCACGCCACCAACACACUCCGGCAUAUAUGAACCAUGUGGGCCCAAAUACGGCAAACACAAGGCUGGAACGACGGCUGGAAGGCUGUUCUUGGGAUUAUUAAAGUUUGGAUUCUAAAAAUCUCCAGUAUAACAGAUAUCUGAGGAGAUUCAGUCAUGCUGCUCAAGGUCAUUUGAUGUCUCAAUAGAAUGAAAGUGCAGUGAUUGGCACUUUUACGCAUCAGUGCCUCUGAACCCCAGCUGGCUGUGCUGUAAGUCAGAGCUUCCAGUGGCUGGUGGCCAGUGCUGACUGGGAAAGCUUCCAGCCUCAGAGGGACUGUGAUUAACCCAGGAGCGGUCAAACUCGGCAGGAAGCCCCCUACAACCAGCCACUGCUAUUUAUCCACUUUCCAAUGAAACCAAUUACUUUUACAGCGAGCCUCGGUGCCGACACUAUAUGUGUUGUUCUUACAGACCAAUAGAGUAUGGCUGUGAAAGGAGAAGCAGACGUGAAGUGGGAAUCCCUCCUGAGCUGCUUCAACAGGCUGUAAAAUAUACCUAAAGUCAGUAUCCAUGGAGACCCACUGAUGUGUGAGAGCAGCCUGAGGGACACACAAAACCUUUUAGAAAACAAGUAUAUUAUUAUUUUUCCCAUUUUGUUCACUUGAUAUCAAAGCAGCUGUAGAGUUGUCAAGCCAUCAGUGAUUUUUCCAAGCUGCAGCCAAAAUGUAAAAAUAAACCCAGUUUACACUUUUAUUUUUUAUAUUGUACUUACAUUGCUUGCUUGCUGUUACACCUUUUCACAAUGUGAAACAUGAAUGUCAACUUCCUGACAUCACUGGUGUCUAGUCAUUUGCUGUUCUUUUUACUAAAGGUGAAAAUGACUUUGCAGAAACUUUUAACUUUUUAGAGGAAAGGUACACUAUAAUUGUGAACAAUGUGUCUGCAGUAAUUGUGGAUUGUGACAGUGUUUAAGCAGCUAAAGAUGCAGAGCUAGAAUUGAAGAGCAGAUUCAUUUGAAAUCUGCAAUGUGCUAUCACAUUACAGUAAUGGUGCUAUGACUUAAUUAAAAGCCACUAUGAUCUUACAA